This 76-nucleotide transfer RNA is filed under the name Scytolyngbya sp. HA4215-MV1. Its description in RNAcentral is "tRNA-Cys". It matches the Rfam family "tRNA". Rfam says of the family: Transfer RNA (tRNA) molecules are approximately 80 nucleotides in length. Their secondary structure includes four short double-helical elements and three loops (D, anti-codon, and T loops). The record is from RNAcentral. Lineage: Bacteria; Bacillati; Cyanobacteriota; Cyanophyceae; Leptolyngbyales; Leptolyngbyaceae. RNAcentral also lists the same sequence under 1 other name.
CUCCAGGUCGCCAAGUGGGAAGGCGUUGGUCUGCAAAACCAACUAUUCGUGGGUUCGAUUCCCACCCUGGAGUCCA